GCGUCAGGAACUUGCAUUAGGAAUAUUGUUGGUCGAUAUCCGACGUGUUCCAACAGAAGACGACAAGGCAGUGUUAGCUGCUUUAUUUGAUAUGGGCGUCCCUAUUAU
Molecule: non-coding RNA, 108 nt
Filed under: uncultured Nitzschia
Lineage: Eukaryota; Bacillariophyta; Bacillariophyceae; Bacillariales; Bacillariaceae
Source: RNAcentral